This 240-nucleotide ribosomal RNA is filed under the name Pseudo-nitzschia pungens. Its description in RNAcentral is "partial Eukaryotic small subunit ribosomal RNA". It matches the Rfam family "Eukaryotic small subunit ribosomal RNA", at positions 87 to 328 of the family's 1831-position model. Lineage: Eukaryota; Bacillariophyta; Bacillariophyceae; Bacillariales; Bacillariaceae. The record is from RNAcentral.
CUGCGAAUGGCUCAUUAAAUCAGUCAUAGUUUAUUUGAUGGUACCCUACUACAUGGAUAACUGUGGUAAUUCUAGAGCUAAUACAUGCCGAAAAAUCUCGACUUCUGGAAGAGAUGUAUUUAUUAGAUCCAAAACCAAUGGCCUUCGGGUCUCCUUGGUGAAUCAUGAUAACUGCUCGAAUCGCAUGGCCUUGCGCCGGCGAUGCUUCAUUCAAAUAUCUGCCCUAUCAACUUUCGAUGG